GAAACUGCGAAUGGCUCAUUAAAUCAGUUAUAGUUUAUUUGAUGGAUAAAGAAUAUGGAUAACCGUAGUAAAGCUAGAGCUAAUACAUGCAUGAAAUCCCGUUAAAAGGAUGCAUUUAUUAGAUAACGCCGAUAUGGUGAAUCAUAAUAACUUAGCGAAUCGCUGGUUUCCAGCGAUAUAUCAUUCAAGUAUCUGCCCUAUCAGCCUGAUGGUAGUGUAUUGGACUACCAUAGCACUAACGGGUAACGGAGAAUAAGGGUUCGAUUCCGGAGAGGGAGCCUGAAAAAUAGCUACCACAUCUAAGGAAGGCAGCAGGCGCGUAAAUUACCCAAUCCUAAUUCAGGGAGGUGGUGACAAGAAAUAUCG
RNAcentral lists this ribosomal RNA (366 nucleotides) under uncultured eukaryote. RNAcentral describes it as "bacterial SSU rRNA". It matches the Rfam family "Eukaryotic small subunit ribosomal RNA", at positions 83 to 482 of the family's 1831-position model. The record is from RNAcentral.